Molecule: long non-coding RNA, 531 nt
Filed under: Scophthalmus maximus (turbot)
Lineage: Eukaryota; Metazoa; Chordata; Actinopteri; Pleuronectiformes; Scophthalmidae
Description: lncRNA (ENSSMAG00000033325.1)
Source: RNAcentral
UGCGCUUGGUCUGCGUAUGCGACUUGGUCCGGACGGCUGCGACUGGUUCCUCUUGGACGGUCAUGCGACUGGUCUCUUGACGGUCGUGCGACUGGUCCUCUUGCGCUAUGCGAUUGGUCCUCGUGACGUCAUGCGACUGGUCCUCUUGACGCCAUGCGACUGGUCUCGUGGACGGCAUGUGGUCGCGAUUGGUCCUCUUGACGCGCGACUGGUCCUCUUGACGCGCGCGACUGGUCCUCUUGGCGUCAUGCGACUGGUCCUCUUGGCGUCAUCGACUGGUCCUCGUGACGUCAUGCGACUGGUCCUCGUGACGGUCAUGCGACUGGUCCUCGUGACGUCAUGCGACUGGUCCUCUUGGCGUCUGCGACUGGUCCUCGUGGACGCUGCGACUGGUCCUCUUGGCGUCAUGCGACUGGUCUCGUGGCGGUCAUGCGACUGGUCUCGUGGACGGUCAUGCGACUGGUCCUCUUGGCGUCAUCGACUGGUCCUCGUGACGGUCAUGCGACUGGUCCUCUUGGACGCAUGCGACUG